This is a long non-coding RNA of Frieseomelitta varia, 5331 nucleotides long. RefSeq lists it as uncharacterized. The record is from RefSeq and is a predicted model, not a curated record. The transcript has 2 exons. Lineage: Eukaryota; Metazoa; Arthropoda; Insecta; Hymenoptera; Apidae.
CCCGGAUAACGAGCGUAGCGUACUCCUGCUUGUAUCGAAAUUUAUAAAAAAAAAAAAAAAAAAAAAAAAAUUAAAAAAGAACACUCGUGACUGAUCGACUGGAAAGGCAUGAAACUGAAAGGGUAAAAAUACGUUCGCGUACGCUUGACUCCGAUCGGUUUUAAGUACGUUCAGUAGGACGGCGCUCCUUUUUCAAACUCGCGAUCCUGUUAGUUAGCUUUUCCCUUACGAUCGAAUUGAAAUUUACGUAUCACUCUUUCGAUUUCACGCUUGAAACUUCCAAAUGCUCCGUUUUUUUUUUCUUUUUGUUUCGCUGUCGCUAAGUGUCUAACGAAAUGUUUCUUGUGGGAGAUUAUAUCCUUUUAAGUUCAUUUUUGUACGAAGUUUAACAGUAUUAACGCUAUCUGUAGGUAGCAGCGGAUACGUGCUAAAUCACACUCACCGUACUUUAGUUAACAAAUUUUAACUAAUUUUAUUUUACGCCUACACUGCCUAUCGUUAAUCUACAUAAGUACACGAUUAUAUAUGUAUGAAAUCACCACACCGACUGUACAUAAAAUAUAUCGAGAACUAUUUUGCUACGAAGCUGCGUACACUUUCAAAACAUCAGAGUGUUUCAGUUGAUCGCAUAUCAUUUGACGAGCUUCGUAUGAUCUUGAAACGGUUAUUGAAAUUGUUAAUGGUAUACGGAGGGAUAUAAGAGCGAUCGUAAUUAUUAAGCAGUUCGAUUUCGGUUUCAUGCCUUCCGUGAAUUUAUCACGCAAAAGCUUAUACGUCGCAGAGAUCAUUCAAAUUACAUUUUACAUAACAUAUCGAAACACACAAAGAGAAGAGAAAUUACAAAUUUUCCUCCGUAGAUUCUAACGUCUACCGUGAAAAUUGAAUAGGACGUAGAUCAACAAAAAUUAUACAUAUGUAUUCGACACAGAUGAUCCGUGUUCUGCCCAAAACACGAAGAUUCGGGAGACUUUCUCAAAUUGUAUCUUAUCGUCUAUGAAAGGACCCGUUCAUUUCGGAGUAAAACUUUUUUAUUCUUGGAACACGCGUGUUUAAACGAUGAUAAUUAUUAGAAGCGUAACAAAAAGAAAAAAGAGAGAACCAAAGUAUGCUUGUAAUUGAAUAUACAUCAAUAUAGGUUUGAUUUUAAAGCAAUAAAAAAAAAAAAAAAAAAAAAAAAAAAGAACGAACUUUUACCGUCUCUGUUUAACUUUACAAAGAAUAAAAACGAAAAAAAAAAGAACAAAGACAGGAACGUUUCCUUGGAACGAAUCGUUGCCUGCUAGAUGCGAAUGCAACUGAAUUUAAGCCAGAGAAAAAGAAAAAGAAUGUAAAAAAAAAACUAUACGUGACAUAAUUAUACAGUACUGUGCACUUACUUUGUGAAGAACUUUGUCGAGAGCUUAUUUAAUAUGUUUAUUCCACGAAGUUACGAGAAGAAGAGCGUUGCGAGACGUGAUAUGUUCAAAUCCUCGUGGAUGUUUCUGAAAAUGCACCCAAGCAGUGAAGAGAUACUUAACGUGAAAAUACGCGCGCGAUGGCGAAGGAGAAAAGGAACUUGUCAGCGCUGCCGAUUAAACGAGCAAGUAAGAUUGUCUUGAUGUGUUGCCAGUAUAUCAGAUGUUUUGUUACAAAUAUGCAACAUUCGUUUUACUUGAUGAGACUUUCGUUGGGAAUUGAGAAGCUUGCAUUGCUUGUUUACUUGCACGUUAAUGCAAUUAAUAAAGAGAUUGUAUUUUAAUCUCAAGUUCUUUAUUAAAUAGAAAUUAAACAAAAUUUCCUGACGAUGCAUGUUAUAAUGAGAUGUAGAUAUUAAGAUAAUAAAAUCAUUGACGAAGUUUCCAAAAAAGAAAAAUAUAUAUAUAUAUUGUCAUGGAAAACUGCGUCUUUCUCUUCGUUUCUGAUUGUUUAUAAAUUGUAUAUUAUCAGUAAAUUAGUAUUAUUUAUAGGUAUAUAAAAAGCUUGUUACUUGAGAAACAUGUAUCGUCAUAAGUAUAUUAGAAAAGACAAGAAUAAGUGUACCGUUUAAUUGACAAAGGCAAGAAUAAUACUGCUCGCGGUAAUGUCAUUAUAUACCAUUAGAUGAUCAUUAAUUGAUGAAGAAAAUAAAGAAGGGAGAGAUCAAACACUUUUACGUAUGUUUUUCUUUUACGAUAUAAAAUUCGGGAAGUACUUCACUAAACGAAUUUGUAACAAAACACGAUCGACUAACUAGAGAGAAUUAUUAAACAACAUUGAGAAUUUGUUUAAUCGGCUAGUCAGCAUAGGUGUUUUUCUUCUUGCAGGAUUAUAUUAAGAGGCAAUGUAAUCGACAGACUAUCACUUGCUACGUGUGAAGACGGCGAGUACUAACUUUAUCGUUUGAAGGUCCGAACUUCUCUACUAGUCUGGCCAACGAUUGCGUACCACUGCCGAGCCAUACCGAUGUACCGUGUUAGCGUACCGUGAGUGCCCGUACACGUUGUAUCCAUUAAUUAAUGGCCAAGCACAUCCGACGACGAAACGUUCGAUGUACUUAGAGCGAAAGUGAGAGCGCGAGCGAGCGAGCGAGAAAGAGAAAGAGAGAGAGAGAGAGAUUGCAAGUUAUAGAAAAAAAGUGUAUUGCGAUUUAUGUAAAAAAAGGAAAAAAAAAAACUAGCAAAGAAACGUUAUGUCGCUAGCUUCUUCACACCUGUAUGUAUUUUAUGCUGUUAUUGGCCGUCGGAUGUCUUGAAGUAAUACGCUUAAAUGGAGAUGAGAACUAAACUUAUUAACUUUGUGGAUUUCCUCUCUCGUUAUUAUCUGUAUCUUCCCACUGGAUAUGCACCGAGAGUAUUGUUCCUUUUAUAAGCUUGCAAGUGCAAGUAAACGUCGAACGAACAAUCAGACGUUACGUUUGUGAAAGAGUGAGAAUUGCGAAUACAAAUGUUACGACAGAAGGAGAGAAUGACCGCGGAAAUGCGGAAUCGCAAAAGAAAGCGGGAGAAAAGGAUGACAGAGUGUGAAAGAGGUAGUGACUAGAGUGACAGAAGGAUAAAGAGAAGAGUUAGAAGAGAUCCCGUUGUCCUUCAGUGUGCAUGCCUUUACGUGGAAAGAGAACGAAUCUUCGUGUUACUCGAAUGCUUAACGAGCUAAUGUCUCUUAUGUUUUCUUUUUUUUGUUAACAGUAUCAUUUGUAAGCAUGAUCUCUUGAUGGAACAUAUACGACACAAACAUACACCCAAAACAUGUGCACAUUACACAUACACAUACCAAAUUUCGCGAUUAGGGUAUAAUAUUAGUGAUGAAUUCCAAAACAGAACAGAGUGUCUCGGUGAAAGAAGAAGACAGGAAGGAGGGAGCACGCGCAAGAGAAUGAAAGUGAGAAUGCGUGAAACAAAAAAAGAAAGAAAGAAAAAAAGAAAUGCGCGAGUGAAUCUUGUAAAAACGAGAGCCUCCGUAUUUAUAUCGCUAUCCUGCCACAUAUCGUGGGCGUGAUUAUGCUGCAACUAUGUUGCAAUUUAGCUUGUAGUUUUUUUUAGUCGAUUUUUCAUGCGUCACCAGUUUUUAAAUACAACACGACUGACUGCUGGUUAAGUAUGGUUGUGAGCGAUUAAGAAAAUGUUUCCCUGUCACACCCAGAAUAUGUGUCCCGUUUUUGGAAGAUAUAUAUAUAUAUAUUUUUUUUCUCUUCUUUAUUCAUUUUCGUACUUUGUCUAGAAAGGAUUGUUAUGCUCGUCCUAAUGAUGAAUCCAGUCGUCCGUUAUUAGCGACAGAACAAUGAUUGAGUUUGAAAGCGAUUAUUUGUAUAUUUGUAAGUCGGUACGAAUAGAUCGGACCAAGAUCAAUGUAUGUAUGUGUCUUUCAUUUCCUCGCUUUUAACGAGUCACUAUAACUCGCGACUUAUUCAUUUUUCAAUUAUGAGAACGACACACGUUCAUGUUUUAUAGCGAGACUUGAACCGAUCACAAAGCAAUGCGUGAAAGAUACGUGGUUUCCGUUGCGUUCCUUUUUUUUCCCCGAUCGUUUGUUUUGUAAUUACUACAAAGCGAAAUUUAUUAUAUUUAAUUAUGUACUGACAAAUUUAUUCAAUAUUUUCUUUUUUUAUAUCUAUUAUGUAAUAUUUGUUUCUUUCAAUUGUUUCUUUAACCCUGAUUGUUUUCUGUGUGCAUUCUCAUGCAUGGAAUUGGGAUUUUCCUUAAUGUCCCACUGUAUAUGUAUUUUCACUUCUAUUGUGUAAAGCAAUGGUUAAAAAUUGUAGAUUUAUCAUUAUUAAAUUUUCAUUUGUUUUUAAAAUGUUUAUCUUGGAAUGUGUCAGUAACGUUUUAUUAAAAAAAAAAAAAAAAAAAAAAAAAACGCAUUCGAUUAUAAAUAUACGUUAAUCAUUGUGUCGCGUUUCCGUAGUGAAUUUUUCAUACGUUUUAUUUUGUGAACGUAAGCUAGAUAAUAUGCGGUUAAUGUGCGUUUUUAAUUAUUAUUCAAGCUUUUUAAGCAUGUGUAAGCUAAAGCAUUUUGUAGCUUGUGUUCGACGAUUAUUUGCCAUUUAUAUGGAAUUGGCAGCUCAUGUGCAUUAUGAUAGUAUGCCCAUGUAACGAGUGUGAUUGAUAACGUUAGAAAUUUUGAGAAGUUUAUCGAUAUAGUGAGGAGGAGACGUUAUGCUUAUGACGAAAGAGAAAGCAAAAAAUCAGACGUCGAUUAAUUUUUGUAAAUAGAAAUUAUUAAAAUGAAUAUAGAAGUACGCACACGGAAACACGAGAAGCUAAAAUGUGUGAAAUGUCGGAGAUAUCGGGACAUAUAUCAGCUUCAAAUUAUAUAUACGUAUACAUGUAUGCAUAAACAAUAUCAAUAAUGGCGAUUAAUAAGCUGUAUUAUUACUACAGUAAUUACCACUAUCUCGCAACGGCAGUGAUUGACUAAUUUUAUUACCACGUAAUCUUAAACGAUGCCAGUGAGAAGUGGAUGUGUUCUUUGUGACAAAAUCGGACGAGAGAAGUAGUGUGAAAAUCGCUAAUGAAUUGUUUCAUUCGCUAAUUUAUAGAGACAAUUUAAAGGUGUCGAAGAUGCUUUUCGAAGAUAUUUUGUCUAUUUCGUACAUGUCUACAAACACAAAGACGAAGAUGUCUAAAGAUUUUGAGCGAGGAUACUCUAUUAUAUUGAUGGAACGACAUUGUUCAUUUUUAACGUGCUUUUGUUAUUAGUGGAUUCGUUUUCUUUCCACUUACGAAACUAAUAAUCUAUUAAAGACAAAAAAAAAAAAAAGAAGAUUAAUGUACAUAGAAAUUAAAUUGUUUGAGUACUAUUCCGAUGAAUUCUGUGUUUACGCCAGCAAGCGUAAGAAUACAAGGGGUGGAGAGCGGUUUGCAUCCUAAUGGUGAA